Molecule: unclassified non-coding RNA, 382 nt
Filed under: fungal sp.
Lineage: Eukaryota; Fungi
Description: partial internal transcribed spacer region
Rfam family: Eukaryotic small subunit ribosomal RNA (bases 1-46)
Source: RNAcentral
AAGUCGUAACAAGGUUUCCGUAGGUGAACCUGCGGAAGGAUCAUUAUCCUUUAGCGUAGUAUUCUAACAAGUACUACAAGCGCAUGCACGCUCGUGUUGCGUAAAAAAAGCACAACAAAACAUGCCUAGUCACGUUUUGUUUCCAAACCCAUGCUCGCUUGAGCAUGGUCGGGUACCUAAGUAAGCGUUUCACGCGUACUGAAGCGGUAGAUGCGUGUCUACCGUGUGGUGUAAAGAUUAUUCAGGCCUUGAAUAACGCCCGCCUAGCAAACUUUUGUAGACAAAUAUUAAUCGCACUAUUAUGUUGUAUGUGUAAAGCACUAUCUUAUUACUUAUAGGAUAAUAACACAAAUACAACCCUAUGCGGUGGAUCAUUUGGCUC